Long non-coding RNA from Nannospalax galili (Upper Galilee mountains blind mole rat), 645 nucleotides. RefSeq lists it as uncharacterized. Lineage: Eukaryota; Metazoa; Chordata; Mammalia; Rodentia; Spalacidae. The record is from RefSeq and is a predicted model, not a curated record. The transcript is spliced from 2 exons.
CCCAAUCCCCUCCCCUAGCCCCGCCUCUUCCCGAUCGGGGACCCCAGCCCCACUGCCUGCAGCGCACCCCACUGCGCCCCACGAGUCCCAUUUUUGCUUGCCUAGAGCAAAUUUGCCCAAGCGCUGACUUUUUAGGAAUUCCCUUCGUCCCCUCGCAGAGACCUUCUGCGGCUCCCCCGCCCCUUGUCCCGCCGCCCAGACGUGGCAUCCUUGCGGGGUGGGCUGUAUAAAGGACCCGAGGCAGCGCGGGCCAAGAUUGGAGACGUGGCGCGUCGGCUCAGCCAGCCCAGGCUCCAGAGCUUGGUCUCAGCUCCUAGAGGAGAGGAGCAGGGAAGGGCUGAAGAGAACACAGCCUGGAGCCAUGAAGAUGCAGCUGUGGACCAUACAGAGAUGCAGCCAUGGACCAUACAUGACCUUCCGGAGAAGCCUCAUAACUGUGAUGAGAUGCAUUAAGAUGUGUUGAGAAUGCAUUUAAAAAUUACAUAUAUAUGCACAGAGAUAUAAGUGCUGGCUAGUUUUUGUCAACCUGACACAAACCUGAAUCACUUGGGAAUGGGGAAGCUCCACAAGUAAUUUCCUCCACCAGCUAAUUGAUGUGGGGGGCCCAGCCCCCUAUGGGCGGUACCAUCCCUAUGCAAGUAGGCC